Molecule: long non-coding RNA, 747 nt
Organism: Caretta caretta (loggerhead turtle)
Lineage: Eukaryota; Metazoa; Chordata; Testudines; Cheloniidae
Source: RefSeq, a predicted model, not a curated record
GGAAACGCAGCUGGAAAUGCCCGGCCCUUUGUGUGCGGCUCCAGAGAGCGGCUACACCGUGCGCCUUUUCUGAGCCUGCAAGACAGCGAGGCGGCAGCCGGAGACAAGGGCUGCAGGAUCGCUAAUCAGCGGCUCUCUUAGCCCAGCAAUGGCAUCGGUUUGCAGACCGAUGUGUCUGUUCGUCUCCCUGUGGUCGCAUCAGCUGGGUAGCCGCCCGCGAAGUCAAUGAUCCGGAAGGUGGAUCGGGCUCGCUCCAAGGUCCUCACACCCCGUCUGUCUCCUCGGCUCCACGCAGAGGCUGCCGGGGGCAGCUAAACACUGUUUCUGGAGCAUUAUAACAAUUACUGUGGGAUAAGUAAAUACAGAAGAAAAAAUUACCUGUUUUUUCUUGGUUUCCGUUUUUCUUCUUGGAUUGAUUUCUAAGAAAACAUCAAGCAAUUUUUAAAAAUUUGCAUCACUUUUUUUAAACACAGGAGCAUUUUUACGCAAAGGUCCAAUACAUGGGCAUGUGAAAUACGAGACUUUCAGAUAAUUCUUAUGAAGAAAACUACAUACUUUUUUUUUGCUUGACAAAUUAUGUGCUGUAGCAGUUUUUAAUAAUCUUUGUGCUUGUUUAUCUGUAUAAGAGAUUGCAGCUAGUACUGGUAACUAUACUGUGCACAAAUAAAAGAAACUGUAAUCAGAAGAAGGAGGGGAAAAUCAAACUUCCAAAUCCUAUAUCUGCUUUAAUAAAAUUGACGAACGCUG